Molecule: ribosomal RNA, 484 nt
Filed under: uncultured bacterium
Lineage: Bacteria
Description: partial 16S ribosomal RNA
Rfam family: Bacterial small subunit ribosomal RNA
Source: RNAcentral
AGUGAACGCUGGCGGCGUGCUUAACACAUGCAAGUCGAACGAGAACGGAUUAUAGCUUGCUAUAAUUGUCAGCUAAGUGGCGCACGGGUGAGUAAUGUAUAGGUAAUAUGCCUCUUACUAAGGGAUAACAAAUGGAAACGUUUGCUAAUACCUUAUGCUCCUUAUUAACAGAAGUUAAUAAGGGAAAGAUUUAUUGGUAAGAGAUUAGCCUGUAUUGUAUCAGUUAGUUGGUGGGGUAAUGGCUUACCAAGACUAUGACACAUAACUGGUUUGAGAGGAUGAUCAGUCACACUGGGACUGAGACACGGUCCAGACUCCUACGGGAGGCAGCAGUGGGGAAUAUUGCACAAUGGACGAAAGUCUGAUGCAGCAACGCCGCGUGGAGGAUGACACAUUUCGGUGCGUAAACUCCUUUUAUAUGAGAAGAUAAUGACGGUAUUAUAUGAAUAAGCACCGGCUAACUCCGUGCCAGCCGCCGCGGUAA